This 217-nucleotide unclassified non-coding RNA is filed under the name Hevea brasiliensis (rubber tree). Lineage: Eukaryota; Viridiplantae; Streptophyta; Magnoliopsida; Malpighiales; Euphorbiaceae. The record is from RNAcentral.
GUAACUUUCUGGAAGUCCAUAAACUCUUGCAAAUUUUAACUCUGAGGGAGACAGGAAGUUACACGGGUCUACUGGGUAAAUUACACGAUCCGUGUAACAUCGUCAACAAGGUAACUUGGAGGACAGUAAGUUACACAGGUCCUUGAGCCAAUUUACAUGGCCCGUGCAUCUUAGCAUGAGUAACAAAAUUUUGGGCAGUAAGUUACAUGGGUCCCAG